GAUCAACGCUGGCGGCGUGCCUAAAACAUGCAAGUCGAACGGCACCUUCGGGUGCAGUGGCGGACGGCUGAGUAACACGUGGGCGACCUGCCCACCGGUGGGGGACAACCUUCCGAACGGAGGGCUAAGACCGCAUGCGACCGCUCAUUCAGUUGAGUGGGGAAACAGCGAUGUGCCGGUGGAGGGGCCCGGCGGCCGAUUAGCUAGCUGGUGGGGUAACGGCCUACCAGGGCGACGAUCGGUAGCCGGUCUGAGAGGAUGAUCGGCCAGACUGGGACUGAGACACGG
This 288-nucleotide ribosomal RNA is filed under the name uncultured bacterium. RNAcentral describes it as "partial 16S ribosomal RNA". It matches the Rfam family "Bacterial small subunit ribosomal RNA", at positions 28 to 329 of the family's 1533-position model. The record is from RNAcentral.